UUGAACAUGAGUUUAUGGCGUUUGUUGAACUUGAGUUUGUGACGUGUUUGAACUUGAGGUUGUGGUGUUUUUGAACUCGAGUUUUUGUGUUUGUUGAACUUCAGUUUUUGGCGUGUUUGAACUUGAGUUUGUGGUUUUUUUAACUUGAGGUUGUGGUUUUUUGAACUUAAGUUUGUGGAAAUUUUUAAACUUGAGGAUUGGGUGGUGGUUGAACUUGAGUUUGUGGUGUUUUUUGAACUUGAGGUUGUGGUGUUUUUGACUUGAGUUCGUAGCGUGUUUGAACUUGAGGUUGUUGCAAUUGUUAAACUUGAGAUUUGGGUGUUGGUUGAACUUAAAACUUUGCCAUUUGUUGAACUUGAGUUUGUGGUGUAUGUUGAACUCCAGCUUGUGUUGUGUUUGAACUUGAGGUUGUGGUAUUUUUUAAUUGAGUUUGUGGCGGUUUUUGAACUUGAGUUUGUGGCGUGUUUGAACUUGAGGGCGUGUUUGAACUUGAGUUUGUGGUGGUUUUUGAACUUGAGGUUGUGAAAAUUGUUAAAACUUGAGAAUCAGGUGUUGGUUGAACUUGAGUUUGUGGUUUUUGUUGAACCUGAGUUUGUGGUUUUUGUUGAACUUGAGUUUGUGUCGUUUUUGAGCUUGAGGUUGUGGUGUUUUUAAACUUGAGUUUGCGUGUUUGUUGAUCUUGAGUUUGUGUGUUUUUUGAACUUGAGUUUCUUGUUUCUGAACUUGAGGUUUUGGCAAUUAUUGAACUUGAGUCUGUUGUUUUUAGUGAACUUUAGUUGGUGGCAAUUGUUGAACUUGAGUUUGUGGCAUUUGUUAAACUUGAGUUUGUGACGUGUUUAAACAUGAUUUUGUGGUGUUUUUGAACUCGAGUUGUUGGUGUUUUUGAACUUGAGGUUGUGGAAAUUGUUAAACUUGAGAAUUGGGUAUUGGUUGAACUUGAGUUUGUGUGUUUGUUGAACUUGAGUUUUUGUCGUGUUUGAACUUCAGUUUGUGUGGUGUUUUUUGAACUUGAGGUUGUGGUGUUUUUGAACUUGAGUUUGUGGCGGUUUUUGAACUUGAGGUUGUGGCAAUUGUUGAACUUGAGUUUGUGACGUGUUUGAACUUGAUUUUGUGGUGUUUUUGAACUUGAGUUCGUGGUGUUUGUGGAAUUUGAGUUUGUGUCGUGUUUGAACUUGAGGUUGUGGUGUUUUUGAACUCGAGUUUUUGUGUUUGUUGAACUUCAGUUUGUGUCCUGUUUGAACUUGAGUUUGUGGCAUUUGUUAAACUUGAGUUUGUGACGUGUUUAAACAUGAUUUUGUGGUGUUUUUGAACUCGAGUUUGUGGUGUUUUUGAACUUGAGGUUGUGGAAAAACGUAAACUUGAGAUUUGGGUGUUGAUUGAACUUGAGUUUGUUUCGUGUUUGAUCUUGAGGUUGUGGUGUUUUUGAACUUGAGGUUUCUUGUUUGUUUAACUUGAGUUUGUGUGUUUUUUGAACUUGAGUUUGUUGUUUCUGAACUUGAGGUUUUGGCAAUUGUUGAACUUGAUAAUUGGGUAUUGGUUGAACUUGAGUUUGUGUGUUUGUUGAACUUGAGUUUGUGUCGUGUUUGAACUUCAGUUUGUGGUGUUUUUUGAACUUGAGGUUGUGGUGUUUUUGAACUUGAGUUUGUGGCGGUUUUUGAACUUGAGGUUGUGGCAAUUGUUGAACUUGAGUUUGUGACGUGUUUGAACUUGAUUUUGUGGUGUUUUUGAACUUGAGUUCUUGGUGUUUGUGGAAUUUGAGUUUGUGUCGUGUUUGAACUUGAGGUUGUGGUGUUUUUGAACUCGAGUUUUUGUGUUUGUUGAACUUCAGUUUGUGUCGUGUUUGAACUUGAGUUUGUGGCAUUUGUUAAACUUGAGUUUGUGACGUGUUUAAACAUGAUUUUGUGGUGUUUUUGAACUCGAGUUUGUGGUGUUUUUGAACUUGAGGUUGUGGAAAAACGUAAACUUGAGAUUUGGGUGUUGAUUGAACUUGAGUUUGUUUCGUGUUUGAUCUUGAGGUUGUGGUGUUUUUGAACUUGAGGUUUCUUGUUUGUUUAACUUGAGUUUGUGUGUUUUUUGAACUUGAGUUUGUUGUUUCUGAACUUGAGGUUUUGGCAAUUGUUGAACUUGAUAAUUGGGUAUUGGUUGAACUUGAGUUUGUGUGUUUGUUGAACUUGAGUUUGUGUCGUGUUUGAACUUGAUUUUGUGGUGUUUUUGAACUCGAGUUUGUGUUGUUUUUGAACUUGAGUUUGUGGUGUUUGUUGAACUUGAGUUUGUGUCGUGUUUGAACUUGAGUUUGUGUCGUGUUUGAACUUGAGGUUGUGGUGUUUUUGAACUCGAGUUUUUGUGUUUGUUGAACUUCAGUUUGUGUCGUGUUUGAACUUGAGUUUGUGGUGUUUUUUGAACUUGAGGUUGUGGUGUUUUUGAACUUGAGUUUGUGGCGGUUUUUGAACUUGAGGUUGUUGCAAUUGUUGAACUUGAAAUAAAAACCCAAAUAUGAACCCAAAUAUAUAUUUUUUCUUUUUACAUUUUUUUUGGUGUAACCAACUCCAAAAGGUCUUAAACAUGUUCCUAAAAAUGUUUUGGACAGUGAUAUUAAACCUAACGCCAAAAACCUUAAACCUUACCCUAGCCCCAUAACCUAAUACACGGGUAUUACCUUCAGGAAGCCCAAAAACCCCAAAUAUUUUUUUUUCAUUUUUCAUUUUUUUUUGGUCUAACUAACUCCAAAAGGUUGGAAAAGAGGUCCUACAAAGGUUUUGGACAGUGAUUUUAACCCUCACGCCAAAAACCUUAAACCUUACUAUAGCCCCAUAAAAUAAUACCCGGGUAUUACCUUCAGAAGCCCAAAAACCCCAAAUAUUUUUUUUUUAUUUUUCAUUGGUUUUGCUCUAACUAACUCCAAAAGGUUGGAAAAGAGUUCCUACAAAGGUCUUGGACAGUGAUUUUAACCCUAACGCCAAAAACCUUAAACCUUACCCUAGCCCCAUAACCUAAUACCCGGGUAUUACCUUCAGAAGCCCAAAAACCCCAAAUAUUUUUUUUUUAUUUUUCGUUAGUUUUUGCUCUAACUAACUCCAAAAGGUUGGAAAAGAGUUCCUACAAAGGUUUUGGACAGUGAUUUUAACCCUAACACCAAAAACCUUAAACCUUACCCUAGCCCCAUAACCUAAUACCCGGGUAUUACCUUCAGGAAGCCCGAACACCCCAAAUAUUUUUUUUUUCAUUUUACAUUUUUUUUUGGUGUAACCAACUCCAAAAGGUCUUAAACAUGUUCCUAAAAAGGUUUUGGACACUGAUUUUAACUCUAACGCCAAAAACCUUAAACCUUACCCUAGCCCCAUAACCUAAUACCCAGGUAUUACCUUCAGGAAACCCGAACACCCCAAAUAUAUUUUUUUUCUUUUUCUUUUUUUUUUGUCUUACUAACUCCCAAAGGUCUGAAACAUGUUCCUUAAAAAAUAUUGGACAGUUAUUUUAACCCUAACGCCAAAAACCUUAAACCUUACCCUAGCCCCAUAACCUAAUACCCGGGUAUUACCUUCAGGAAGCCCGAACACCCCAAAUAUAUAUUUUUUAUUUUUCUUUUUGUUUUGGUUUAACUUGCUCUCAAAGGUUGGAAAAGAGUUCCUACAAAGGUUUGGGACAUUGAUUUUAACCCUAACGCCAAAAACCUUAAACCUUACCUUAGCCCCAUAACCUAAUACCCAGGUAUUACCUUCAGGAAACCCGAACACCCCAAAUAUAUUUUUUUUCUUUUUCUUUUUUUUUUGUCUUACUAACUCCCAAAGGUCUGAAACAUGUUCCUUAAAAAAUAUUGGACAGUUAUUUUAACCCUAACGCCAAAAACCUUAAACCUAACCCUAGCCCCUUAACCUCAUACCCGGGUAUUACCUUCAGGAAGCCCGAACACCCC
This 3913-nucleotide long non-coding RNA is filed under the name Xyrichtys novacula (pearly razorfish). Lineage: Eukaryota; Metazoa; Chordata; Actinopteri; Labriformes; Labridae. The record is from RNAcentral.